CCUACGGGUGGCAGCAGUGGGGAAUAUUGGACAAUGGGGGGAACCCUGAUCCAGCCAUGCCGCGUGUGUGAAGAAGGCCCUCGGGUUGUAAAGCACUUUCAGUGAGGAAGAACGCCUGGUGGUUAAUACCCAUCAGGAAAGACAUCACUCACAGAAGAAGCACCGGCUAACUCCGUGCCAGCAGCCGCGGUAAUACGGAGGGUGCGAGCGUUAAUCGGAAUUACUGGGCGUAAAGCGCGCGUAGGUGGCUUGAUAAGCCGGUUGUGAAAGCCCCGGGCUCAACCUGGGAACGGCAUCCGGAACUGUCAAGCUAGAGUGCAGGAGAGGAGGGUAGAAUUCCCGGUGUAGCGGUGAAAUGCGUAGAGAUCGGGAGGAAUACCAGUGGCGAAGGCGGCCUUCUGGACUGACACUGACGCUGAGGUGCGAAAGCGUGGGUAGCAAACAGGAUUAGAUACCCUGGUAGUC
This 465-nucleotide ribosomal RNA is filed under the name Vreelandella stevensii. RNAcentral's name for it is "partial 16S ribosomal RNA". It matches the Rfam family "Bacterial small subunit ribosomal RNA", at positions 338 to 795 of the family's 1533-position model. The record is from RNAcentral. Lineage: Bacteria; Pseudomonadati; Pseudomonadota; Gammaproteobacteria; Oceanospirillales; Halomonadaceae.